UCAAAAACAAAACACAAGUAUCAGUUCCUCAGAAAAAGGUUAGAUAGCAAAGAGCAUUCUAAGCAAGAAAUUAGAAACCAGAAUAUCAUAUAAGUUUGCCAAUUUAUGCGCUAUCUCAAGGUUCACUCCUCUCCAAAGGAUUCUUCCAAAUCACAGUGUUAUUAGCAUUUGAAAAAAUAUCUAUAUACAUAUAUGGCAGAACAUAGCAUAUGGCAGCCAAAUUUUUUUUUAAAUUAGGAAUUUUAUUAUUUUUCUCAUUUGGGUCAUUGGAUUGUAAUGUAGAGAGGGGGAAAAAAACGGAUAACUUCCAUGCUUAACACCCGCCUAUCAGGAAAAUUGUGGUGUUUUAAACCAUAGUUAUUAAAGGGGCAAGGUGCAUUAAGACGCAAAGAGGUCCUAGGGCCUAUGCGCAAGGUGCAGGCAUGUGCCUAAAUGAGGCGAGGCUAAAAAAAAUAAAAUUUAAUAAAAAAU
Molecule: unclassified non-coding RNA, 471 nt
Filed under: Hevea brasiliensis (rubber tree)
Lineage: Eukaryota; Viridiplantae; Streptophyta; Magnoliopsida; Malpighiales; Euphorbiaceae
Source: RNAcentral